Molecule: unclassified non-coding RNA, 813 nt
Filed under: Hevea brasiliensis (rubber tree)
Lineage: Eukaryota; Viridiplantae; Streptophyta; Magnoliopsida; Malpighiales; Euphorbiaceae
Source: RNAcentral
CAGCAGCAGCAGCAGCAGCAUCAUAGGCAUUAUACAUCCAACCCGAAAACAUACUACGAAAAGAGCUGUGAUGCAAACGAGAUUGUGUUUGGGGCUGUUCAAGAACAGGCUGGUCGGCGUGAAGCUGUGGUUAUAAAGGCUGUUGACUAUGGAGAUCCUAGGUACAGUCACCAUAAUAUUCGACCUCGAUUCAACUAUGUUGGUUAUUCUCAUGGGUAUUAAUCAUCUAUUAUAUAUAUUACUAGAGGGGAAAACAAAAGAAUAUUUUCAACUUCCGUGUGCCUUAAGAUGAGUAUGGAAAAAUAUGUCUUUUACUGUUUUUCUAUAUUUUUAUUUGUUUAUUAAUAUUUUUUAAUCUCUUCCUUUUUACUUUCAUUUUUUGGUGGAAAUGUUAGUACUGUUUUAAAAAGUUUGCUUGUAGCGAUCAAAUAUGUAACAUAUCUUAUACAAUAUGAAGAGAAUCAAAUGGCUAGCUGUUGAUGUUAUAUAGCUUCUAUGGAUGCUUUUUGUUCUUAAACUGAGAAUUAGAGCAUGGGAGUUCAAGUUCAGCAACAACUCAGAUAAAAGCAAAUCCACUUUCUUAAAAUACAAAUUGUGAACAAGGAAUUGCACAUCUCCUUCAACUUAUUCAAGGUGAGAACAAAAAUCAAAAUGCUGAUUUCUGUCAAGGAAGUGACUCGCCUCAGCUGUGAGAUGUGACCUUUGUGGUGUUUGUGCAUAUUGAACUAUGUUUGAUGAAACUAGAUAAGCAAAAAUUUGUAGUCUUGAAUUGGGAUGAUCUUUGAUGGAAUGCAGAACUGAAAGAUGAUGAUG